GGACAAGAAUGUACGUCUCUCCAUCUGAUGACCAAAGUACAUACCUCACCGGUGAGAUGUGUGCUGAUGAACUCAUUGACAGUCAUGAGCUUUUGGGACCACUCCUCAUCUGUGUACUUGGAACCCACUUCCACGGGCACCGUUCGGCAGCCGGCAAUUUUCUGAAUAUACUCCACACUGGAAAGAGGAAAGGUCUCAUCACUGUCAUCAUCUUUGCUAACAUCCAUGGACACUAUUCAAUGG
Molecule: long non-coding RNA, 243 nt
Organism: Suncus etruscus (white-toothed pygmy shrew)
Lineage: Eukaryota; Metazoa; Chordata; Mammalia; Eulipotyphla; Soricidae
Exons: 2
Source: RefSeq, a predicted model, not a curated record